UUAUAAUUUGGUUUUUUUUAUUUACCUUUAUUGAUUAGACUUAGGCUUGGUUAUUACUUUCUAAUGUAAUUAAACUUGGACUCUUAGUACGUUUCCUACCAAGAGUUGGUUGCUUGAUUAAUAUAAGGGAGAGGCUGUCCAUGAUAGAGGCAUUCCAUUCCA
Molecule: long non-coding RNA, 162 nt
Organism: Telopea speciosissima
Lineage: Eukaryota; Viridiplantae; Streptophyta; Magnoliopsida; Proteales; Proteaceae
Exons: 3
Source: RefSeq, a predicted model, not a curated record